This is a small nucleolar RNA of Tachyglossus aculeatus (Australian echidna), 138 nucleotides long. The record is from RefSeq and is a predicted model, not a curated record. Lineage: Eukaryota; Metazoa; Chordata; Mammalia; Monotremata; Tachyglossidae.
CCCCUCUCAGGGUCAUACCUGGAGAGUUUCCAGUACCCGAUCAGCCUCGGCUACAGGAGGGAGAGUCAAGCAGAGGCAUACCUAUUCCAUUCCCAGCCUGGGCAGUGGCUAGCAAGUGGAAGGCAAUCUGCUACAAGU